CAGCAGCCGCGGUAAUACGAAGGGGGCUAGCGUUGCUCGGAAUUACUGGGCGUAAAGGGAGCGUAGGCGGAUCGUUAAGUUGGGGGUGAAAGCCCGGGGCUCAACCUCGGAACUGCCUUCAAUACUGGCGAUCUUGAGUAUGAGAGAGGUGUGUGGAACUCCGAGUGUAGAUGUGAAAUUCGUAGAUAUUCGGAAGAACACCAGUGGCGAAGGCGACACACUGGCUCAUUACUGACGCUGAGGCUCGAAAGCGUGGGGAGCAAACAGGAUUAGAUACCCGAGUAGUCCCUGUCUCUUAUAC
This 301-nucleotide ribosomal RNA is filed under the name uncultured bacterium. Its description in RNAcentral is "partial 16S ribosomal RNA". It matches the Rfam family "Bacterial small subunit ribosomal RNA", at positions 509 to 807 of the family's 1533-position model. The record is from RNAcentral.